Molecule: small nuclear RNA, 19 nt
Filed under: Arabidopsis thaliana (thale cress)
Lineage: Eukaryota; Viridiplantae; Streptophyta; Magnoliopsida; Brassicales; Brassicaceae
Description: snRNA_15566
Source: RNAcentral
AGAAUUAUCUUGAUCAAUA